Sinocyclocheilus rhinocerous is the source of this 423-nucleotide non-coding RNA. Lineage: Eukaryota; Metazoa; Chordata; Actinopteri; Cypriniformes; Cyprinidae. The record is from the annotation of a RefSeq genome assembly.
AUGGAGGAGAGGCAGAUGAUACUCAUAAUGCUCAUCACAGUUUCAGGUGGAUUUGCUAAUAGAAUUGGACCAAGUGAAGGAGAUACUAAUAUAAUCAGAGAAGAAGGAGAGUCUGUGACACUGAGCUGCACAUUUGAAACUAACAGCAAUGAUAUUUGGCUUUACUGGUACAGACAAUAUCCAAACACAGAACCAGAAUAUAUACUGUAUAAAGGUGCUCGAUCACAGAGCAGGCAGAAAGAUAUACCAGAUGUGUUUCAAUCAACUACAACCCAGACAUCCACUGAACUCACUAUUAAGAGUGUAAGUCUGAAGGAUUCAGCUCUCUAUUACUGUGCUCUAAGAGUAGUCGCCCAGGGAUACAAAAUGCCUGAGAGGCUUUACAAAAACUCACAUGAAAUUAAUGCUUUAAAAAGAAUUUAA